Molecule: long non-coding RNA, 186 nt
Organism: Osmia bicornis bicornis
Lineage: Eukaryota; Metazoa; Arthropoda; Insecta; Hymenoptera; Megachilidae
Exons: 3
Source: RefSeq, a predicted model, not a curated record
GUCCGCAGUUAAUAUGAACAAAAAUUCUGUUUGAGUGUAAGAUCAUCUCCAAGAGGCGUUUAGAAAGAGGGCUUUACAGUGAGUUAUCCUAGGGGAUACUCAUGGGGUGUUUGAUGGGACUAAAUGGAGCGGGAUGGUUCAUGCUGUUACCUGUGGUGCUCUCGCUCUUGGAGAGAGGUAUCGUGU